Long non-coding RNA from Armigeres subalbatus, 412 nucleotides. RefSeq lists it as uncharacterized. The transcript is spliced from 3 exons. The record is from RefSeq and is a predicted model, not a curated record. NCBI's taxonomy places the organism in Eukaryota, Metazoa, Arthropoda, Insecta, Diptera, Culicidae.
GUGGGUUGGUUUAGCGAGUACUUGCCUGGCGCAAAUCAACAAUAGUCGCCAUGUUUUGUUCUCCUGCCGAAUCAGUCCGUGUUAUUUCUCUUCGUAAGUUGAUUUCAAUCGCCAUUACUAUCAGGCGCCAUGCAUGGAUUUGCGCCAGUAAUAUUCGUCUUGCUCGUCAUCACCAACUUAUUUACUUGCGCUCGCGCAGCAUCCGGAUUUUGACGCGACGGACGCUGGCUGUGAUGAUAUGCUGGUUCCGACAAAAGAAUAGUCCCGUUAGAAGACCGUACGCUACGAAAUGCCCCGCUAUGAAGGCCAAAGAAUGACCACAUUCCGGUAGAGGUGCCAUGAUACUCACAUGAAAUCAAAUAAACGAUACGUAAAUAAAAUAUGGAUAUGACUUAACAAAAUUAUUUGUUAU